This 468-nucleotide ribosomal RNA is filed under the name uncultured bacterium. RNAcentral describes it as "partial 16S ribosomal RNA". It matches the Rfam family "Bacterial small subunit ribosomal RNA", at positions 28 to 507 of the family's 1533-position model. The record is from RNAcentral.
GACGAACGCUGGCGGCGUGCUUAACACAUGCAAGUCGAACGGAAGGGCCCUGCUUUUGUGGGGUGCUCGUGUGGCGAACGGGUGAGUAACACGUGAGUAACCUGCCCUUGACUUUGGGGUAACUUCAGGAAACUGGGGCUCUUACCCGAUAGGAUCUCCUGCUGCAUGGUGGGCGUUGGAAAGUUUCGGCGGUUGGGGAUGGACGGGCGGCUUAUGAGCUUGAUGGGGGGGUAGUGGCUUACCAAGGCUAUGACGGGUAGGCGGCCUGGGAGGGGGACCGGCGACAUUGGGCCUGAGAUACGGCGCAGACUGCAACGGGAGGCAGAGGGGGGGAAUAUUGCACAAUAGGCGGGAGCCUGAUGCGGCGACGCCGGGUGCGGGAAGACGGGCUUCGGGUUGUAAACAGAUUUCGCCUGAGACGAAGCGUGAGUGACGGUACCGGGUAAAGAAGCACCGGCUAACUACGUG